GGAAGGUCCGGGCGUUAUCCGGAUUUAUUGGGUUUAAAGGGAGCGUAGGCCGGAGAUCAAGCGUGUUGUGAAAUACUGUCGCUCAACGACAGAGGUGCAGCGCGAACUGGGAGACUUGAGUGCGCGGAAUGCAGGCGGAAUUCGUCGUGUAGCGGUGAAAUGCUUAGAUAUGACGAAGAACUCCGAUUGCGAAGGCAGCUUGCAGUAGCGUAACUGACGCUGAAGCUCGAAAGUGCGGGUAUCGAACAGGAUUAGAUACCCUGGUAGUCCGCACGGUAAACGAUGGAUGCUCGCUGUGUGCCCCUGGGUACGCGGCCAAGCGAAAGCGUUAAGCAUCCCACCUGGGGAGU
This 350-nucleotide ribosomal RNA is filed under the name uncultured bacterium. RNAcentral's name for it is "bacterial SSU rRNA". It matches the Rfam family "Bacterial small subunit ribosomal RNA", at positions 527 to 881 of the family's 1533-position model. The record is from RNAcentral.